GAUGAAGAACGUAGCGAAAUGCGAUACUUGGUGCGAAUUGCAGAAUCCCGUGAACCAUCGAGUCUUUGAACGCAAGUUGCGCCCGAAGCCAAUAGGCCGAGGGCACGCCUGCCUGGGCGUCACACGUCGUUGCCCCCCCAUCUACUCCUUCGGGAUUGCGGGGGGCGGAUGAUGGCCUCCCGUGCGCCUCGUCGCGCGGUUGGCAUAAAUGCCAAGUCCUCGGCGACGCACGCCACGACAAUCGGUGGUUGCGAAACCUCGGUUGCCCGUCGUGUGCGGUCGUCGCGCAUCGAGGGCUCGAAAAAAUUGCCGGGCUCCGGCUCGGCUUUCAACGCGACCCCAGGUCAGGCGGGGUUACCCGCUGAAUUUAAGCAUAUCAAUAAGCGGAGGA
Molecule: unclassified non-coding RNA, 391 nt
Filed under: soil metagenome
Description: partial contains 5.8S ribosomal RNA, internal transcribed spacer 2, and large subunit ribosomal RNA
Rfam family: 5.8S ribosomal RNA (bases 1-122)
Source: RNAcentral